CAGUAGCCACGGGAAUACGUAGGAGGCAAGCGUUGUCCGGAAUUAUUGGGCGUAAAGGGCUCGCAGGCGGUUUCUUAAGUCUGAUGUGAAAGCCCCCGGCUCAACCGGGGAGGGUCAUUGGAAACUGGGAAACUUGAGUGCAGAAGAGGAGAGUGGAAUUCCACGUGUAGCGGUGAAAUGCGUAGAGAUGUGGAGGAACACCAGUGGCGAAGGCGACUCUCUGGUCUGUAACUGACGCUGAGGAGCGAAAGCGUGGGGAGCGAACAGGAUUAGAUACCCCCGUAGUCCCUGUCUCUUAUAC
RNAcentral lists this ribosomal RNA (301 nucleotides) under uncultured bacterium. Its description in RNAcentral is "partial 16S ribosomal RNA". It matches the Rfam family "Bacterial small subunit ribosomal RNA", at positions 509 to 807 of the family's 1533-position model. The record is from RNAcentral.